GGUCUUGGUCAUAAGAUAUGGUUCUUUGCUGGCUCGCCUUUAUUUCGGUUUCUUUGGAUCUCCAUAAACACUUUGGAUUUUGAACUUGCUCCACCUUGAUAACAACUCCUCCAUAACUCCUCAUUUCAUAACUUUGUGUUGAUCACUAGAUGUGCUUCUUUAUAGGUUGGCCUUAGAUAUCUCCCCUUGAUUUCUUCAGUCUUCUUCUAGAUUUUCUGAUUCUGAACUCGCUCCAUCUUAAUCCAUCUCCAUGCAUUUCCUCGGUCUUGAAUCCUUUCAUUUCUUCACUUCUUGAUUUCUCAUGCUUCACUUAAUCUCAACUCGUCUUCAUAACUCUUUACUUUGCUUGCUCAUGUCCCUUUGUGUAUACUGUCUAAAGUCGCCAUAAUCGUCUUCAUAUCUCUUCACUCUGCCUUUCACUGUCCCUUGAGUGUCCUUCCCAAUGUCACCACAAUCAUCUUCAUAAAUCUUCACUUGAAUGAUCACUGCGUCUUCUUCUUAGCUUUUACUUUGCUGCCCAACUAAUUUCUCAUGAUACGAUCUUGCCAAUCUGCGCCUCUGAUUACUCCAACCAUUUCCUCGAUCUCUCAUUUCCCAGAUACUGAUGAAGUCCUUUCCCAACGAAGUCUUGUUUCUUCCCAUCUGUCCAGUCCAUACCACAUCCCAGUUCUCUGAAUCUGUCUCUCCUCUUUCGCUUCGGGUUUGGGUUUGGCCUUGAACUCCCUCCACUUUAAGGUUUUCAUUCCUUAAAGUUCCGAUCAACAAACAUACUUACUCGCUGCAACUCAAAAGAACACUUAACAUGCAAGUUAGUAGACAAUUAAUCAAAUAAUCCACUAACCCAGCAAAUACUAACAAUGCAACCUAACCGCAAUUCUAACCAGCAACCUAACAGUUCUACCCAAGCAACCUAACAGUUCUACCCAAGCAACCUAACAGUUCUAGAUUCCACUAUCUCAAUCCAAAUUCCUAAAACCACAAAUCCUAUCGCUGGACGUGACCGGUUUCCCUAAUGCCUUUUGUGACUCAUUUUGACUCGAUAAAUAUUUAAAACCGAUUAAAUCAGGAGUUCCGGAAGCAUGGACGAAACCAUGCUC
RNAcentral lists this long non-coding RNA (1097 nucleotides) under Brassica napus (rape). Its description in RNAcentral is "long non-coding RNA (BNAP_LNC024235)". The record is from RNAcentral. Lineage: Eukaryota; Viridiplantae; Streptophyta; Magnoliopsida; Brassicales; Brassicaceae.